AUGCUUGAUGACGACACUUGUUUGGUGAAUCACCUCUUGAAUGCUUGGUUUUGCACUAACGCUAACCACAUUUGUUUUUCCAAGUGUUUGUUCCAUUUGCUCCUUUUGAAGGAAUCACAAGACGGUGCGACAUUGGAGAGUGCCCAUUUCGAGCUUCAAGAUGACAAGUACUUGGUGAUCGUCCACUUCAACACGACGAUGCUAUCUCUUUCCCAUGGUGAUUUGGUCUUUGAUCCGAGGUUGGAUCUUUCCCAAGGGGGAGGGGAUGAUGCGGAGCAUCCUACGGUCAUCACCAUGUCAAGAGUCCGUUUGGCAAGUGACACGUGCAACCUCUACUUCUCAUACAUAAAGGUGAAUCUUCUCCUUUACACGUGUUCACUUGACCCCUUCGAGGAUGGUAUACUACUUGACACUUCUCCCGUGUGCAUGCAUAGGUAUUGUCAAAGCUUCACGGAUGUCGAGGAGGAGUGCAAGCGCCAAGGAACGACUACACCGUCCGUGAGGGAAGCAUGGAAGAGAAGGAGGAAGAGAACCUGGCCGCUCCAGAACGAGCGGUACUACCGCCCACUCCAAGCGGUACUACCGCUAAGGCCACCCAAGCGGUACUACUGCUAA
This 615-nucleotide ribosomal RNA is filed under the name Triticum aestivum (bread wheat). RNAcentral describes it as "partial small subunit ribosomal RNA". Lineage: Eukaryota; Viridiplantae; Streptophyta; Magnoliopsida; Poales; Poaceae. The record is from RNAcentral.